Molecule: ribosomal RNA, 244 nt
Filed under: uncultured bacterium
Lineage: Bacteria
Description: partial 16S ribosomal RNA
Rfam family: Bacterial small subunit ribosomal RNA
Source: RNAcentral
UACGGAGGGGCUAGCGUUGUUCGGAAUUACUGGGCGUAAAGCGCACGUAGGCGGCUUUGUAAGUUAGAGGUGAAAGCCCAGGGCUUAACCCUGGAAUUGCCUUUAAGACUGCAUCGCUAGAAUUGUGGAGAGGUAAGUGGAAUUCCGAGUGUAGAGGUGAAAUUCGUAGAUAUUCGGAAGAACACCAGUGGCGAAGGCGACUUACUGGACACAUAUUGACGCUGAGGUGCGAAAGCGUGGGGAG